This 301-nucleotide ribosomal RNA is filed under the name uncultured bacterium. RNAcentral's name for it is "partial 16S ribosomal RNA". It matches the Rfam family "Bacterial small subunit ribosomal RNA", at positions 509 to 807 of the family's 1533-position model. The record is from RNAcentral.
CAGUCGCCGCGGUAAAACGUAGGGUGCGAGCGUUAAUCGGAAUUACUGGGCGUAAAGCGUGCGCAGGCGGUUUUGUAAGACAGAGGUGAAAUCCCCGGGCUCAACCUGGGAACUGCCUUUGUGACUGCAAGGCUAGAGUACGGCAGAGGGGGAUGGAAUUCCGCGUGUAGCAGUGAAAUGCGUAGAUAUGCGGAGGAACCCCGAUGGCGAAGGCAAUCCCCUGGGCCUGUACUGACGCUCAUGCACGAAAGCGUGGGGAGCAAACAGGAUUAGAUACCCCAGUAGUCCCUGUCUCUUAUAC